Molecule: transfer RNA, 56 nt
Filed under: Marshallagia marshalli
Lineage: Eukaryota; Metazoa; Nematoda; Chromadorea; Rhabditida; Trichostrongylidae
Description: tRNA-Val
Source: RNAcentral
GAAUUUUUAGUUUAAGUAAGAAUUAAUUAUUUACAAUAAUUGGGUAUAAAAUUCUA